This 73-nucleotide transfer RNA is filed under the name Nanoarchaeota archaeon NZ13-N. RNAcentral describes it as "tRNA-Trp". It matches the Rfam family "tRNA". Rfam says of the family: Transfer RNA (tRNA) molecules are approximately 80 nucleotides in length. RNAcentral also lists the same sequence under 1 other name. The record is from RNAcentral. Lineage: Archaea; Nanobdellati; Nanobdellota.
GGGCCCGUAGUCUAGCCAGGUAGGACGGUGGGCUCCAGACCCAUUGACCGGGGUUCGAAUCCCCGCGGGCCCA